CUUAGAAUGUGCAACAGCCAUUUCUGUCUGAAUACUUCUCCAUGAAUUGACCACUUAAAGUAAACGGUUAUACAGUUCAGAUUUGGUGGGAAAUGCUUUGCUCUUUGAACUCUCUUUAAAACAAAUUGAGCAGUAAUGGGAAAACUGCUGGGAGAACGAAGGAAUAGUUUAACAUGUUGGAAAAGUUAUUCGCUUUCUUGCUGAGAGUUAGAUGAGAAGAUUGAUGCCACUUGUCUUUACACUAACAAAAAGCUGGACAGGCCCUCUCCAAAGUUUACUCACUGUGUGUUUACUCUUUAUUGAUGGAAUACAAAAUUAAAACUCUGGAGAACACACCGCUCAACAGAACUUGGAAGGAGAGAGCUAAGUUUUAACUGGCCAUGUGGAGUGAGUCGCAGAGGCUUCAACAGUGAACAACUACAGGUUCUACCCAUCUGGACCCUGGACUCCUGCCUCUGUCCUGUUUGCCGUCGACUUACCUUUCCCUGGAUCUCUGGACCCCCUCUGCCUGAUUUGUCUGCCUGCUUCCCUGCCUUGCUCAGCUCACUCCUCUGGCUCAUGUCUCAACCCCCGAAGCUCCCCUGAUCCAUAGGCUCCUUAUUCAUUCUUAAGUAAUGUGUAAAU
Molecule: long non-coding RNA, 624 nt
Organism: Micropterus dolomieu (smallmouth bass)
Lineage: Eukaryota; Metazoa; Chordata; Actinopteri; Centrarchiformes; Centrarchidae
Exons: 3
Source: RefSeq, a predicted model, not a curated record